Molecule: long non-coding RNA, 742 nt
Organism: Penaeus indicus
Lineage: Eukaryota; Metazoa; Arthropoda; Malacostraca; Decapoda; Penaeidae
Exons: 4
Source: RefSeq, a predicted model, not a curated record
UCAAUAACUUAAAAUUGCUAAUAAGGCGAAAGGCAUUAAUAACAUUUACCCCCUGUUAGCAGCUAAACCUCGCAAAAAGAGAAGGUAUAGGCAAGUUGGUUCAAUUAAAUGCUUUAAGUGGGAGAAAUAUUAAGAUGUACUGAGUGGGACAUGAUUUUACUGGUGGCGGAUGAAGUCUGAUGUUAGAAGCUUCUGUGUAAUCUGCCAUAAGUCAUGCAAAAAUGUACUGUGCAUGUAUUUAGGAUAUGUUAGUAUAAAGGGGUAAAACCAUGUUAAUGCCUUUAUUUCCAUUUUUCUCAAUGACAACUUUUGGUAUUUGCAGGUGUCUUCCAGCAAGGAUGCCUACUCUCAUGGGAUCUUUGGCAUUGGGAAGUACAGGACGGAGUUCCUGUCAAGAUUGCAGAAUUUGGAAGUCUGGAUGACUAGACAGAAAUAAUUACUUUAUGAAAUAGAAAUGGAAGCCCUCGAUACAAGUCCAACAAUUGUGGAUCCUACAUGUUCAGUGCCACUUGAUUAGGUGUGGUGUUCAUAUAAAGUCGCUGACUGAAGAGUGGUGGCUUCAAAGCCAUCUGUGUGGUUGCUUGUGUGCAGACACUUUUGGUAGCACUGUCUCGUUUUUUCUGGAGAUGUGAGGGUGCAGACAGUUCUGAAGAUGGAUGGAUACAAAUGUAAUGCAGAUUUGAUGUAUGCAUAUAAUUUUGCUAUUAUAUAAAGUGUGUAAACUCAAUAAAUAGUAUGGAAA